This 48-nucleotide transfer RNA is filed under the name Dicranum scoparium. Its description in RNAcentral is "partial tRNA-Lys". Lineage: Eukaryota; Viridiplantae; Streptophyta; Bryopsida; Dicranales; Dicranaceae. RNAcentral also lists the same sequence under 44 other names. The record is from RNAcentral.
UUUUAACUUUCAUCCGACGAGUUCCGGGUUCGAGCCCCGGGCAACCCA